Molecule: ribosomal RNA, 2034 nt
Filed under: human oral metagenome
Description: bacterial LSU rRNA
Rfam family: Bacterial large subunit ribosomal RNA
Source: RNAcentral
UUGGCUUAGAAGCAGCCAUCCUUGAAAGAGUGCGUAAUAGCUCACUGGUCAAGUGAUCGUGCGCCGACAAUGUAGCGGGGCUCAAGCACACCGCCGAAGCCGCGGACCCAUGACGUUGUUCCCUUCACUGUCCGGCUUGUCCGGGUGGUGGCAGGGGUUGUGGGUGGUAGGGGAGCGUCCUGCACCGGGGGAAGCCUGUGGGUGACUGCUGGUGGACGGUGCGGGAGUGAGAAUGCAGGCAUGAGUAGCGAUACUAGGGUGAGAAGCCCUAGCGCCGAAUGACCAAGGGUUCCAGGGCCAGGCUAGUCCGCCCUGGGUGAGUCGGGACCUAAGGCGAGGCCGACAGGCGUAGUCGAUGGAUGACGGGUUGAUAUUCCCGUACCGGCGAAGCACCGCCCAUGCUGACGCGCGGGUGCUAACCCACGCCCAGCCACCAUAUUGGCCGCAUGUGUCAGGUUCGCCUGACGGUGUGGUUGUGGUGGUGGGGUCUGGGGAUCCUCCGUGCAGGUAGGCAAGCGUGUUAACAGGGGUGACGCACAGUGGUAGCCCGGCGGACCUGAUGGCUUGGUCCGUUCAAGCGCGCAGCCCGUUCCCCAGGUAAAUCCGGGGGACUGUCUUUGAUGACGGGGGUGAGGCGUGAUGGUGACCUCACACUGGUGGGGGAUAACAGGGUGAUCCUGGGGUGCCGAGAAAAGCCUCGACGCGAUGGUGCCAGCCGCCCGUACCCUAAACCGACACAGGUGGUCGGGCAGAGUAUGCCUAGGCGCACGAGUGAAUCAUGGUUAAGGAACUCGGCAAAAUGCCCCCGUAACUUCGGGAGAAGGGGGGCCUGAUCCCUGAAGCCCCGUUUGCGGGCUAGGGGGGAGGGUCGCAGAGGCCAGGGGGAAGCGACUGUUUACUAAAAACACAGGUCCGUGCGAAGCCGUAAGGCGAUGUAUACGGACUGACGCCUGCCCGGUGCUGGAAGGUUAAGAGGAACCAUCAACCCCCUUGUGGGGUGAAGUGGUGAAUUUAAGCCCCAGUAAACGGCGGUGGUAACUAUAACCAUCCUAAGGUAGCGAAAUUCCUUGUCGGGUAAGUUCCGACCUGCACGAAUGGCGUAACGACUUCUCCGCUGUCUCAACCGCGAACUCGGUGAAAUUGCAGUACGAGUAAAGAUGCUCGUUUCGCGCAGAAGGACGGAAAGACCCCGGGACCUUUACUAUAGCUUGGUAUUGGUGUUCGCUUGGACUUGUGUAGGAUAGGUGGGAGACUGUGAAGCUGCCGCGCCAGCGGUGGUGGAGUCGUCGUUGAAAUACCAUUCUGGUUCAAGCGGUCACCUCAACCUUGGCCCGUGAUCCGGGUUGGGGACAGUGCCUGGUGGGUAGUUUAACUGGGGCGGUUGCCUCCUAAAAUGUAACGGAGGCGCUCAAAGGUUCCCUCAGCCUGGUUGGUAAUCAGGUGGCGAGUGCAAGUGUACAAGGGAGCUUGACUGUGAGACCGACGGGUCGAGCAGGUGCGAAAGCAGGAACUAGUGAUCCGGCCAUGGCACGUGGGUGCGUGGUCGCUCAACGGAUAAAAGGUACCCCGGGGAUAACAGGCUGAUCUUGCCCAAGAGUCCAUAUCGACGGCAUGGUUUGGCACCUCGAUGUCGGCUCGUCGCAUCCUGGGGCUGGAGCAGGUCCCAAGGGUUGGGCUGUUCGCCCAUUAAAGCGGUACGCGAGCUGGGUUUAGAACGUCGUGAGACAGUUCGGUCCCUAUCCUCUGCGCGCGCAGGAGACUUGAGAAGGCCUGUCCCUAGUACGAGAGGACCGGGACGGACGAACCUCUGGUGUGCCAGUUGUCCCGCCCGGGGCACGGCUGGUUGGCUACGUUCGGGAAGGGUAACCGCUGAAAGCAUCUAAGCGGGAAACCAUCUUCAAGAUAAGGUCUCCACAAGAAGGACUUGUCCUUUUUGGUAGGCCCCCAGCAGACUACUGGGUUGAUAGGCCAGAAGUGGAAGACCGGCAACGGUCUGUGAGCUGACUGGUACUAAUAGGCCAACACAAACAACAA